CUAGAGAUUGUGAUAAUGCCC
This 21-nucleotide non-coding RNA is filed under the name Arabidopsis thaliana (thale cress). The record is from RNAcentral. Lineage: Eukaryota; Viridiplantae; Streptophyta; Magnoliopsida; Brassicales; Brassicaceae.